RNAcentral lists this ribosomal RNA (694 nucleotides) under uncultured bacterium. RNAcentral's name for it is "bacterial SSU rRNA". It matches the Rfam family "Bacterial small subunit ribosomal RNA", at positions 32 to 715 of the family's 1533-position model. The record is from RNAcentral.
AACGCUAGCUACAGGCUUAACACAUGCAAGUCGAGGGGCAGCAUGAACUUAGCUUGCUAAGUUUGAUGGCGACCGGCGCACGGGUGAGUAACACGUAUCCAACCUCCCGCUUACUCAGGAAUAGCCUUUCGAAAGAAAGAUUAAUGCCUGAUGGUAUCUUAAGCACACAUGUAAUUAAGAUUAAAGAUUUAUCGGUAAGCGAUGGGGAUGCGUUCCAUUAGGUAGUAGGCGGGGUAACGGCCCACCUAGCCGACGAUGGAUAGGGGUUCUGAGAGGAAGGUCCCCCACAUUGGAACUGAGACACGGUCCAAACUCCUACGGGAGGCAGCAGUGAGGAAUAUUGGUCAAUGGGCGCGAGCCUGAACCAGCCAAGUAGCGUGAAGGAUGAAGGUCCUAUGGAUUGUAAACUUCUUUUAUACGGGAAUAAAGUGGCCUACGUGUAGGCUUUUGCAUGUACCGUAUGAAUAAGCAUCGGCUAACUCCGUGCCAGCAGCCGCGGUAAUACGGAGGAUGCGAGCGUUAUCCGGAUUUAUUGGGUUUAAAGGGAGCGCAGACGGGGGAUUAAGUCAGUUGUGAAAGUUUGCGGCUCAACCGUAAAAUUGCAGUUGAUACUGGUUCCCUUGAGUGCAGUUGAGGCAGGCGGAAUUCGUGGUGUAGCGGUGAAAUGCAUAGAUAUCACGAAGAACUCCGAUUG